AUGGAAUAGGGUGCAGUGUGUAGGUUGUAGGGUGUAUGUAUGGAAUAGGGGGUAGUGUGUAAGGUGUAUGGAAUAGGGUGCAGUGUGUAGAGUGUAUGUAUGGAAUAGGGUGUAGUGUGUAGGGUGUAUGUAUGGAAUAGGGUGCAGUGUGUAGGGUGUAUGUAUGGAAUAGGGUGCAGUGUGUAGGUUGUAGGGUGUAUGUAUGGAAUAGGGUGCAGUGUGUAGGGUGUAUGUAUGGAAUAGGGCGUAGUGUGUAGGGUGUAUGGAAUAGGGUGUAGUGUGUAGGGUGUAUGUAUGGAAUAGGGUGCAGUGUGUAGGGUGUAGGGUGUAUGUAUGGAAUAGGGUGCAGUGUGUAGGUUGUAGGGUGUAUGUAUGGAAUAGGGUGUAGUGUGUAGGGCGUAGGGUGUAUGGAAUAGGGUGCAGUGUGUAGGUUGUAGGGUGCAUGUAUGGAAUAGGGUGCAGUGUGUAGGUUGUAGGGUGUAUGGAAU
RNAcentral lists this long non-coding RNA (488 nucleotides) under Salmo salar (Atlantic salmon). RNAcentral's name for it is "lncRNA (ENSSSAG00000103542.1)". Lineage: Eukaryota; Metazoa; Chordata; Actinopteri; Salmoniformes; Salmonidae. The record is from RNAcentral.